AAGGUGGGGAUGACGUCAAUCCUCAUGGCCUUUAUGUCCGGGGCUACACACGUGCUACAAUGGUCGGUACAGAAGGAAGCGAAGUCGUGAGAUGGAGCAGAUCCGAGAAAGCCGAUCUCAGUUCGGAUUGGAGUCUGCAACUCGACUUCAUGAAGUCGGAAUCGCUAGUAAUCGCGGAUCAGAACGCCGCGGUGAAUACGUUCUCGGGGUUU
Molecule: ribosomal RNA, 212 nt
Filed under: uncultured Leptonema sp.
Lineage: Bacteria; Pseudomonadati; Spirochaetota; Leptospiria; Leptospirales; Leptospiraceae
Description: partial 16S ribosomal RNA
Rfam family: Bacterial small subunit ribosomal RNA
Source: RNAcentral